This is a non-coding RNA of Cladorrhinum sp. PSN332, 95 nucleotides long. The record is from the annotation of a GenBank genome assembly. Lineage: Eukaryota; Fungi; Ascomycota; Sordariomycetes; Sordariales; Podosporaceae.
GGCAAAGUGGCCGAGUGGUUAAGGCGCUGUGUUUAGGAAUUUACUCCUAUUAUCCGCAGUGGGAAACCUCGCGAGUUCGAAUCUCGUCUUUGUCA